Molecule: ribosomal RNA, 497 nt
Filed under: uncultured bacterium
Lineage: Bacteria
Description: partial 16S ribosomal RNA
Rfam family: Bacterial small subunit ribosomal RNA
Source: RNAcentral
GAUGAACGCUGGCGGCGUGCCUAAUACAUGCAAGUCGAGCGAACAGACGAGGAGCUUGCUCCUUUGACGUUAGCGGCGGACGGGUGAGUAACACGUGGAUAACCUACCUAUAAGACUGGGAUAACUUCGGGAAACCGGCGCUAAUACCGGAUAAUAUUUUGAACCGCAUGGUUCUAUAGUGAAAGACGGUUUUGCUGUCACUUAUAGAUGGAUCCGCGCCGUAUUAGCUAGUUGGUAAGGUAACGGCUUACCAAGGCAACGAUGCGUAGCCGACCUGAGAGGGUGAUCGGCCACACUGGAACUGAGACACGGUCCAGACUCCUACGGGAGGCAGCAGUAGGGAAUCUUCCGCAAUGGGCGAAAGCCUGACGGAGCAACGCCGCGUGAGUGAUGAAGGUGUUCGGAUCGUAAAACUCUGUUAUUAGGGAAGAACAAAUGUGUAAGUAACUGUGCACGUCUUGACGGUACCUAAUCAGAAAGCCACGGCUAACUACGUG